GACGAACGCGGCGGCGUGCCUAAUACAUGCAAGUAGAACGCUGAAGGAGGAGCUUGCUCUUCUGGAUGAGUUGCGAACGGGUGAGUAACGCGUAGGUAACCUGCCUGGUAGCGGGGGAUAACUAUUGGAAACGAUAGCUAAUACCGCAUAACAUUGACUAUUGCAUGAUAGUCAAUUGAAAGGUGCAAAUGCACCACUACCAGAUGGACCUGCGUUGUAUUAGCUAGUUGGUGGGGUAACGGCUCACCAAGGCGACGAUACAUAGCCGACCUGAGAGGGUGAUCGGCCACACUGGGACUGAGACACGGCCCAGACCCCUACGGGAGGCAGCAGUAGGGAAUCUUCGGCAAUGGACGGAAGUCUGACCGAGCAACGCCGCGUGAGUGAAGAAGGUUUUCGGAUCGUAAAGCUCUGUUGUAAGAGAAGAACGAGUGUGAGAGUGAAAAGUUCACACUGUGACG
RNAcentral lists this ribosomal RNA (461 nucleotides) under Streptococcus cristatus. Its description in RNAcentral is "bacterial SSU rRNA". It matches the Rfam family "Bacterial small subunit ribosomal RNA", at positions 28 to 474 of the family's 1533-position model. Lineage: Bacteria; Bacillati; Bacillota; Bacilli; Lactobacillales; Streptococcaceae. The record is from RNAcentral.